RNAcentral lists this ribosomal RNA (274 nucleotides) under uncultured bacterium. RNAcentral describes it as "partial 16S ribosomal RNA". It matches the Rfam family "Bacterial small subunit ribosomal RNA", at positions 523 to 796 of the family's 1533-position model. The record is from RNAcentral.
AUACGGAGGGUGCAAGCGUUGCUCGGAAUCACUGGGCGUAAAGCGUACGCAGGCGGUUUACUAAGUCGGGUGUGAAAGCCCAGGGCUCAACCCUGGAACUGCAUUCGAAACUGGUAGACUCGAGUACGGGAGAGGAGAGCGGAAUUCCUGGUGUAGAGGUGAAAUUCGUAGAUAUCAGGAGGAACACCCGUGGCGAAAGCGGCUCUCUGGCCCGAUACUGACGCUCAUGUACGAAAGCGUGGGUAGCAAACAGGAUUAGAAACCCCAGUAGUCC